Molecule: long non-coding RNA, 643 nt
Organism: Haliotis rubra (blacklip abalone)
Lineage: Eukaryota; Metazoa; Mollusca; Gastropoda; Lepetellida; Haliotidae
Exons: 3
Source: RefSeq, a predicted model, not a curated record
UCUGUGGAGCUUAAGUGGUAACUUUGACCACUGACCCACCCAAACCUUCUCAGACAAAACACCACCAAAACUGAAUAUGAUGAUUUAUUUUCUUUUUCAAUGAUCACAUUAAAGUUGCAGAAAAAGUGAAAGAACUAAACAGAGGAAGUGUUCUUACUUAACAAUUAUGAAUCCUACAGUUAAAACCCCAAAUAACCACAUUUUAUACAUAAAUUUGGCAACGCAAUUCACCAAUCUCCUAAUGUCCAAGCAUAGAAGUCACGUAGCUACAGAGUUAUACAAACAGAAGCAGAGGCUAAGUCAGUAAGCUAUAACAUAUAAAACACUGUCUUUAAUGACAUAAGUAAUGCGAUGUUCCAUUGUCCAAUAUUCUGGGACUAAGAUCUACACCAAAUGCUAACUCAUCUAGAGUUAUUCCAGUCAGAAAAUGGGACAAUGGUAACUCCACAAAAAUUACAAUCAAACAGUCCACAUAAAUAAAGUAAAGGUGUAUCACAAGCUGUGAAUGAAUGAUGUAAGAUGCAUGUAUCUGUACAAGUCGGCGAUGUUGUUUGUUCAGAUGGCCAGGCCGAAGACGCUGACGAUGCAGUACAUCAUCUUGUUCUCCCACCUAACUGUGCAGCUACCUUCAGUGGAAUUUUAC